RNAcentral lists this long non-coding RNA (441 nucleotides) under Mus spicilegus (steppe mouse). Its description in RNAcentral is "lncRNA (ENSMSIG00000016407.1)". Lineage: Eukaryota; Metazoa; Chordata; Mammalia; Rodentia; Muridae. The record is from RNAcentral.
GUUCUAAACACAAUGAAAAAUUAUUUGUAAAAUAAGAAAGCGAGCCCAGCACUGGCAAACAUGGCUGUACUUAUUCUCUCUCUGCUCUAGGUUGUGGGUGUGCCCAGCUGCAUCAUGUCUCCACUGUCUUGACUUCCCUUCAGUGAUCAACUGUAACCUGGACUUGUACCUAAAAUAAGCCCUUUCUCAUCUUAGUUGCUUGUGUUGAAGUAUUUUUUAAUCACAGUCACAGGAAACAAAACUGAAACAUCCCCACAGUCACCACAGCAGUAGGAAGGGGAGAUGGUGGUAUUGCCUGGGUUAAGAUACAAUCUUCAUUCCCUGGUGCUGACUGUAAUGAAUGAGAUCCUUUCCAAACACUAUGAAUCUCCCAAAUUUGAAGAUUUGGUAUAAGCAAUGCAGAAAGAAUUUCUAAUGAUAAUUAAAACUCAGAAGCAUCAG